AAUGAACGCUGGCGGCAGGCCUAACACAUGCAAGUCGAGCGAGGACUUCGGUCCUAGCGGCGGACGGGUGAGUAACGCGUGGGAAUAUGCCCUUUGGUACGGAAUAGCCUCGGGAAACUGGGAGUAAUACCGUAUGUGCCCUUCGGGGGAAAGAUUUAUCGCCAAAGGAUUAGCCCGCGUUGGAUUAGGUAGUUGGUGGGGUAAUGGCCUACCAAGCCGAUGAUCCAUAGCUGGUUUGAGAGGAUGAUCAGCCACACUGGGACUGAGACACGGCCCAGACUCCUACGGGAGGCAGCAGUGGGGAAUCUUAGACAAUGGGCGCAAGCCUGAUCUAGCCAUGCCGCGUGAUCGAUGAAGGCCUUAGGGUUGUAGAGAUCUUUCAGAUGGGAAGAUAAUGACUGUACCAUCAGAAGAAGCCCCGGCUAACUCCGUG
This 433-nucleotide ribosomal RNA is filed under the name uncultured bacterium. Its description in RNAcentral is "bacterial SSU rRNA". It matches the Rfam family "Bacterial small subunit ribosomal RNA", at positions 29 to 507 of the family's 1533-position model. The record is from RNAcentral.